GUCUACGGCCAUACCACCCUGAACGCGCCCGAUCUCAUCUGAUCUCAGAAGCUAAGCAGGGUUGGGCCGGGUUAGUACUUGGAUGGAAGAAAUGUCUGAUACUACGUGUUCUUUAAU
Molecule: ribosomal RNA, 117 nt
Filed under: Neogale vison (American mink)
Lineage: Eukaryota; Metazoa; Chordata; Mammalia; Carnivora; Mustelidae
Source: RNAcentral